UAAUAAGUGUUUUAUGGCACUUUUUAAAUCCAUAUCCACCUUGUGUGCAAUGUCAGUCGAUCUUCUUCAUGGAGAUCGACCAAACAUCAACCUUUAUCUUUUAACUCUUUGCCUGAAAAAUAUUAUGAAUAAACAAUUCAAAAUA
RNAcentral lists this unclassified non-coding RNA (145 nucleotides) under soil metagenome. RNAcentral's name for it is "partial internal transcribed spacer 1". The record is from RNAcentral.